GGGUUGUGAGGUUAAGCGACUAAGCGUACACGGUGGAUGCCCUGGCAGUCAGAGGCGAUGAAGGACGUGCUAAUCUGCGAAAAGCGCCGGCGAGGUGAUAUGAACCCUUGACCCGGCGAUGUCCGAAUGGGGAAACCCAGUGCAAUCCGUUGCACUAUCGUUAACUGAAUACAUAGGUUAACGAGGCGAACCGGGGGAACUGAAACAUCUAAGUACCCCGAGGAAAAGAAAUCAACCGAGAUUCCCCCAGUAGCGGCGAGCGAACGGGGAGCAGCCCGGAGUCUGAAUCAGCUUGUGUGUUAGUGGAACGGUCUGGAAAGUCCGACGGUACAGGGUGAUAGUCCCGUACACGAAAAUGCACAUGCUGUGAACUCGAAGAGUAGGGCGGGACACGUGGUAUCCUGUCUGAAUAUGGGGGGACCAUCCUCCAAGGCUAAAUACUCCUGACUGACCGAUAGUGAACCAGUACCGUGAGGGAAAGGCGAAAAGAACCCCGGCGAGGGGAGUGAAAAAGAACCUGAAACCGUGUACGUACAAGCAGUGGGAGCCUCUUUAUGGGGUGACUGCGUACCUUUUGUAUAAUGGGUCAGCGACUUAUAUUCUGUAGCAAGGUUAACCGUAUAGGGGAGCCGAAGGGAAACCGAGUCUUAACUGGGCGUUAAGUUGCAGGGUAUAGACCCGAAACCCGGUGAUCUAGCCAUGGGCAGGUUGAAGGUUGGGUAACACUAACUGGAGGACCGAACCGACUAAUGUUGAAAAAUUAGCGGAUGACCUGUGGCUGGGGGUGAAAGGCCAAUCAAACCGGGAGAUAGCUGGUUCUCCCCGAAAGCUAUUUAGGUAGCGCCUCGUGAACUCAUCUUCGGGGGUAGAGCACUGUUUCGGCUAGGGGGCCAUCCCGGCUUACCAACCCGAUGCAAACUACGAAUACCGAAGAAUGUUAUCACGGGAGACACACGGCGGGUGCUAACGUCCGUCGUGAAGAGGGAAACAACCCAGACCGCCAGCUAAGGUCCCAAAGUCAUGGUUAAGUGGGAAACGAUGUGGGAAGGCACAGACAGCCAGGAUGUUGGCUUAGAAGCAGCCAUCAUUUAAAGAAAGCGUAAUAGCUCACUGGUCGAGUCGGCCUGCGCGGAAGAUGUAACGGGGCUAAACCAUGCACCGAAGCUGCGGCAGCGACACUAUGUGUUGUUGGGUAGGGGAGCGUUCUGUAAGCCGUUGAAGGUGUGCUGUGAGGCAUGCUGGAGGUAUCAGAAGUGCGAAUGCUGACAUAAGUAACGAUAAAGCGGGUGAAAAGCCCGCUCGCCGGAAGACCAAGGGUUCCUGUCCAACGUUAAUCGGGGCAGGGUGAGUCGACCCCUAAGGCGAGGCCGAAAGGCGUAGUCGAUGGGAAACAGGUUAAUAUUCCUGUACUUGGUGUUACUGCGAAGGGGGGACGGAGAAGGCUAUGUCAGCCGGGCGACGGUUGUCCCGGUUUAAGCAUGUAGGCGGAGGUUCCAGGUAAAUCCGGUACCUUAUUAACGCUGAGGUGUGAUGACGAGGCACUACGGUGCUGAAGUGAUAAAUGCCCUGCUUCCAGGAAAAGCCUCUAAGCAUCAGGUAACACGAAAUCGUACCCCAAACCGACACAGGUGGUCAGGUAGAGAAUACCAAGGCGCUUGAGAGAACUCGGGUGAAGGAACUAGGCAAAAUGGUGCCGUAACUUCGGGAGAAGGCACGCUGAUGUGUAGGUGAAGCCCCUGCGGGCGGAGCUGAAAUCAGUCGAAGAUACCAGCUGGCUGCAACUGUUUAUUAAAAACACAGCACUGUGCAAACACGAAAGUGGACGUAUACGGUGUGACGCCUGCCCGGUGCCGGAAGGUUAAUUGAUGGGGUUAGCGGCAACGCGAAGCUCUUGAUCGAAGCCCCGGUAAACGGCGGCCGUAACUAUAACGGUCCUAAGGUAGCGAAAUUCCUUGUCGGGUAAGUUCCGACCUGCACGAAUGGCGUAAUGAUGGCCAGGCUGUCUCCACCCGAGACUCAGUGAAAUUGAACUCGCUGUGAAGAUGCAGUGUACCCGCGGCAAGACGGAAAGACCCCGUGAACCUUUACUAUAGCUUGACACUGAACACUGGUCCUUGAUGUGUAGGAUAGGUGGGAGGCUUUGAAGCGUGGACGCCAGUCUGCGUGGAGCCAACCUUGAAAUACCACCCUUUAAUGGCUGGUGUUCUAACGUGGACCCGUAAUCCGGGUUGCGGACAGUGUCUGGUGGGUAGUUUGACUGGGGCGGUCUCCUCCCAAAGAGUAACGGAGGAGCACGAAGGUUGGCUAAUCCUGGUCGGACAUCAGGAGGUUAGUGCAAUGGCAUAAGCCAGCUUGACUGCGAGCGUGACGGCGCGAGCAGGUGCGAAAGCAGGUCAUAGUGAUCCGGUGGUUCUGAAUGGAAGGGCCAUCGCUCAACGGAUAAAAGGUACUCCGGGGAUAACAGGCUGAUACCGCCCAAGAGUUCAUAUCGACGGCGGUGUUUGGCACCUCGAUGUCGGCUCAUCACAUCCUGGGGCUGAAGUAGGUCCCAAGGGUAUGGCUGUUCGCCAUUUAAAGUGGUACGCGAGCUGGGUUUAGAACGUCGUGAGACAGUUCGGUCCCUAUCUGCCGUGGGCGCUGGAGAAUUGAGGGGGGCUGCUCCUAGUACGAGAGGACCGGAGUGGACGCAUCACUGGUGUUCGGGUUGUCAUGCCAAUGGCAUUGCCCGGUAGCUAAAUGCGGAAGAGAUAAGUGCUGAAAGCAUCUAAGCACGAAACUUGCCCCGAGAUGAGUUCUCCCUGAGACUUUAAGUCUCCUGAAGGAACGUUGAAGACGACGACGUUGAUAGGUCGGGUGUGUAAGCGCAGCGAUGCGUUGAGCUAACCGAUACUAAUGAACCGUGAGGCUUAACCUUACAACGCCGAAGGUGUUU
Molecule: ribosomal RNA, 2932 nt
Filed under: Enterobacter cloacae
Lineage: Bacteria; Pseudomonadati; Pseudomonadota; Gammaproteobacteria; Enterobacterales; Enterobacteriaceae
Also listed under: 1 other name
Description: bacterial LSU rRNA
Rfam family: Bacterial large subunit ribosomal RNA
Source: RNAcentral